RNAcentral lists this long non-coding RNA (406 nucleotides) under Physcomitrium patens. RNAcentral describes it as "long non-coding RNA (PPAT_LNC011475)". The record is from RNAcentral. Lineage: Eukaryota; Viridiplantae; Streptophyta; Bryopsida; Funariales; Funariaceae.
CUAUGAUGCCAACUAUUCUAUGAAGUUUGAUGAUAUCUACUCUAAUUUAAGAAAUAUAUAAGAUUCUUCUCAAAGAUACUCUUGAAGAUUUGAUUAAGAAUAUAAAAGAAUUGAGGGAAGAGAUGAUUGAAUUCAAGAAAAGCCAUAGAGUUAUAUCUUUAUGUAAAUCUAAGGAAUCAAAGGAAUUUUUUAAGAAAUCCAUGUAUUAUGAUAGUCUUGAGCAUGAGAGGUAAAAUUACUCUAAUUAUGAUGAAGACUUAAAAAAAAGAAGUUUCUUCAAAGAACGUAGAAUGAGACUCAUUGUUAUGAGCCAAGCUUUGGAGCUCAAUUUUGGAAGAAGAGGUAUAAAAAAGCUUGAAGAAGAUUAUGUAGCGAGUGCAAGUGGAUUGCAUGUCAAAGAAACUGA